This 143-nucleotide unclassified non-coding RNA is filed under the name uncultured Hyaloscyphaceae. RNAcentral describes it as "sequence contains ITS2". Lineage: Eukaryota; Fungi; Ascomycota; Leotiomycetes; Helotiales. The record is from RNAcentral.
UGACCAAAUCACCCUAUGGUGGACUUGGAGCUGGCCGUCUGGCCUCUCUCAAAAUUAGUGGCGGUGCUCUUAAAGCUCUACGCGUAGUAAUUUUUCUCGCUAUAGGGUCUUACUAGUACUUGCCAACAACCCCAACUUUCUAA